AGUAUGAAAAGAGAAUCUUACGUUUAGUCUCUCUCUCCCAUUUCUUGACAUCUCCAUCUCUCUCUCACAUUUCUCCCAUUGCUCCUCAAUUUCUGGCAAUCACUAUCUCAAUUUCAAGCUCUCAUCGGCAUGGGUCGCAGGAAAUGAAGAUGGUGUAACUACUUUUCAAAUGGACAUUAAGGUGGCUGGAAUUACUUUCCCUACCAAACAAAGGAUGGUCGGAAGCAUAUCCUUGGUAAUUUUACAAAGAUGCAUACUAAAUAGUGAUGAAAUUUUCCCAAAUUUCUUCUUGCAGUAUUUCUGACUACAAUUUUUAAUAUUGUUGCACCAAAUUUCCAUGUAUGGGCCUUUAAUAUUUGAACAUUUUUUUUCUUUUUUCCUGUUGUUAUAUGAUUGAGUGUGUCUACAUGAAUUAAUGCAGCUGAAAUGUUGAAGUGCUCACCUCCUCCGUCCAAAGCGCUUUCAAAGCAUGCCCCCCUGAUUCAUGUCAUGAAGGCCUGUUAACGCUUGGAGCCAUAUAAUAUAUAUAUAUUGCUUCAAUGCUUGGAAUUGAUGGUUUGCAACAGUAUUGUGAUUCUUGUUUACAUGAUCUUGUUCGACUACAGGUCAGACCUGAGAAGAUAUACAUGUAAUCAUUGGUAGUGGUGGGAAGAAGGUAAAGAGCAUUAUAGAAGAGACAGUAGUAGAUGCUAUUGACACAGAAGAGGACGGGACUGUAAGAUCAGAAGAAAGCCUUGUGAAAAUCACCUCAAGGGAUUUGUUAAGCUUGGAAAAAGCUAGAGCAAUUAUAAGUAAUAUGACAAUGGUUCCAAGUGUAGGCGAUAUAUAUAGUUGUUAAGUGGUUAGAGUUUCUGUCCUUUGAACUCUCACUCAAGAACUGUGAGAUCAAGUCAAUAACAAAUUAUGGAGCUUUUGUAGAGAUAGCACCUGGACGGGAGGGACUUUGCCAUGUUAGUGAGUUGAGUUCGAAUUAUAUAGCAAAGCCAGAAGACGGAUAAUUAGUAUCGAAGAUAUUGUUGGAAGUGUUACUGCUUGGCUCACCGACAAAGUUAUAAUGAGGUAAAGAAUGAUCUUACCUGUAAUAAUGAGUUGUAUCAUAUUGCUUCUGGAACUGUUAUGUGAAAUUGCAUUUUAUUUCAGUAACUAUUAAUUUUGAUAAACACCUCAUAGGAAUGGAGGUGCUCAUUGUUUGUUCUCUUAAGAAAUCAUCUAGUCUCUUGGACUUGUAAUUCACUUUUACGCUAUCUUCUCUUCAUAGUUUUGACUAAAUAAUUUAUAUUCUCACUGCUAUUAAAUGUGAGAGAUGUCUUAAAUCCGGAUCAUUAAUUGCUUUGAAAUU
Humulus lupulus (European hop) is the source of this 1339-nucleotide long non-coding RNA. RefSeq lists it as uncharacterized. NCBI's taxonomy places the organism in Eukaryota, Viridiplantae, Streptophyta, Magnoliopsida, Rosales, Cannabaceae. The record is from RefSeq and is a predicted model, not a curated record. The transcript is spliced from 7 exons.